GUUUAUAUAGUUUAUAUAAAAUAUUAUAUUUUCAUUAUAAAGUUAGAUUAAAUCUUAUAAAUA
This 63-nucleotide transfer RNA is filed under the name Pselaphinae sp. 12 EF-2015. Its description in RNAcentral is "tRNA-Glu". Lineage: Eukaryota; Metazoa; Arthropoda; Insecta; Coleoptera; Staphylinidae. The record is from RNAcentral.